Long non-coding RNA from Rhipicephalus sanguineus (brown dog tick), 160 nucleotides. RefSeq lists it as uncharacterized. The record is from RefSeq and is a predicted model, not a curated record. The transcript has 3 exons. NCBI's taxonomy places the organism in Eukaryota, Metazoa, Arthropoda, Arachnida, Ixodida, Ixodidae.
UCAUCCAACGCUGGACAGCUUCUGUGCUCCGGACAUCUGUGGUGGGGCUAUGCGUACGUUGUCAUUUCUCUCGGCCUGUAUGCGGCAGCACUGCCCUACUAAAGUAUGCAAGAUACUUAAUCCAGACGGCGCUACCAUCGUGUCCAAAUAUUCGUCCCCA